RNAcentral lists this ribosomal RNA (497 nucleotides) under uncultured bacterium. Its description in RNAcentral is "partial 16S ribosomal RNA". It matches the Rfam family "Bacterial small subunit ribosomal RNA", at positions 28 to 507 of the family's 1533-position model. The record is from RNAcentral.
GAUGAACGCUGGCGGCGUGCCUAAUACAUGCAAGUCGAGCGAACAGACGAGGAGCUUGCUCCUCUGACGUUAGCGGCGGACGGGUGAGUAACACGUGGAUAACCUACCUAUAAGACUGGGAUAACUUCGGGAAACCGGAGCUAAUACCGGAUAAUAUAUUGAACCGCAUGGUGCAAUAGUGAAAGACGGUUUUGCUGUCACUUAUAGAUGGAUCCGCGCCGCAUUAGCUAGUUGGUAAGGUAACGGCUUACCAAGGCAACGAUGCGUAGCCGACCCGAGAGGGUGAUCGGCCACCCUGGAACUGAGACACGGUCCAGACUCCUACGGGAGGCAGCAGUAGGGAAUCUUACGCAAUGGGCGAGAGCUUGACGGAGCAACGCCGCGUGAGUGAUGAAGGUCUUCGGAUCGUAAAACUCUGUUAUUAGGGAAGAACAAAUGUGUAAGUAACUAUGCACGUCUUGACGGUACCUAAUCAGAAAGCCACGGCUAACUACGUG